Molecule: non-coding RNA, 87 nt
Organism: Calycina marina
Lineage: Eukaryota; Fungi; Ascomycota; Leotiomycetes; Helotiales; Pezizellaceae
Source: the annotation of a GenBank genome assembly
GGCCUGGUGGCGUAAUGGUAACGCGUCGCUUUCCGGUGCUCUCAUCGAAUAUAGCGAAGACUGCGGGUUCGAGUCCCGUCUGGGUCG